GGGGUCGGGCGUGAUGAUCGCGGGGGGUCUUCGGACCGCUCGAGGAAAGUCCGAGCUCCACAGGGCAGACCGCCAGGUAACGCCUGGGCGCCGAAAGGCGAUGGACAGGGCCACAGAAAACAAACCGCCCUGGGGGGAACCCCGGGGUAAGGGUGAAACGGUGGGGUAAGAGCCCACCGCGCGCGCCGGUAACGGCCGCGGCACGGUAACCCCCGGUCGGAGCAAGGCCAAAUAGGCGACGAGGUGCGGCCCGCACCGUCUGAGUCGCGGGUAGGCUGCUUGAGGCGGUCGGUGACGACCGUCCCAGACAGAUGAUCAUCCCCGGCAACGGGAACAGAACUCGGCUUACGGCCCAACCCCAACG
Molecule: RNase P RNA, 364 nt
Filed under: Gemmatimonadota bacterium
Lineage: Bacteria; Pseudomonadati; Gemmatimonadota
Description: RNase P RNA component class A
Rfam family: Bacterial RNase P class A
About the family: Ribonuclease P (RNase P) is a ubiquitous endoribonuclease, found in archaea, bacteria and eukarya as well as chloroplasts and mitochondria.
Source: RNAcentral